RNAcentral lists this long non-coding RNA (494 nucleotides) under Trifolium pratense (red clover). Its description in RNAcentral is "long non-coding RNA (TPRA_LNC004368)". The record is from RNAcentral. Lineage: Eukaryota; Viridiplantae; Streptophyta; Magnoliopsida; Fabales; Fabaceae.
UGGUAUAUAAACACUACCAAGUAGUGUGAUUUUUCCAAUGUGGGACUCAAAGAGUCUUUUUUUUAAUUUACACUAUACAUGGUUCUUACACUUGUGUUUAUUUCAAUACCAAGUUCCCUCCAAAUUCUUCAUCAUGUUCCAACACCUUGUUAAGAUCUUAUUUAAGUGACGCAAGGUAUCCACUAAGUGUAUAACAGUGAGAUGAAGAUAUUUUCAUUUUGCCUUCCACCUGGAGAUAUUAUCUAGUUCAAGGCUCAUGCUAGGGUGAGAGAGCCUAUCAUAUCUCUCACCAAUGGGCAGCUGUUAAGGGCCUUUAGAUUAAAAGGUCUAUAGAGCUUAUGUUAAGCUUUCCAUAUCAGAAUAUUUUUCCUUUUGGCCUCUAACUUUUUCAACCGUGAUUUCUUUUACUUUCUCUGUUUCCAGUAAUUCUUUUAAUUUUUAAUACAAUACUACUUCUAUCUUUUAAUAUAAGAUCAUUUUUUAAUUUUCAAUCA